AUGGAGAGUUUGAUCCUGGCUCAGGACGAACGCUGGCGGCGUGCUUAACACAUGCAAGUCGAACGAGAGUUUUUAACUCUAGUGGCGAACGGGUGCGUAAUACGUGAGAAUCUGCCCUUAGGAGGGGAAUAACUAUUGGAAACGGUAGCUAAAUCCCCAUAUGCCGAGAGGUGAAAUAGUUUACGCUGCCUAAGGAUGAGCUCACGCCUGAUUAGCUUGUUGGUGAGGUAACGGCUCACCAAGGCCACGAUCAGUAGCUGGUUUGAGAGAACGAUCAGCCACACUGGGACUGAGACACGGCCCAGACUCCUACGGGAGGCAGCAGUGAGGAAUCUUGCGCAAUGGGCGAAAGCCUGACGCAGCCACGCCGCGUGCCGGAAGACGGCCCUAUGGGUUGUAAACGGCUUUUGCCAGGGAAGAACGAGGGGGUUUCGACCUCCUGUGACGGUACCUGGUGAAUAAGCACCGGCUAACUCCGUGCCAG
This 484-nucleotide ribosomal RNA is filed under the name Coccolithus braarudii. Its description in RNAcentral is "partial Bacterial small subunit ribosomal RNA". It matches the Rfam family "Bacterial small subunit ribosomal RNA", at positions 1 to 511 of the family's 1533-position model. Lineage: Eukaryota; Haptophyta; Coccolithales; Coccolithaceae. The record is from RNAcentral.